CAUUCGAGUGGCGGACGGGUGAGUAACGCGUGGGUAACCUGCCUUACACAGGGGGAUAACACCUGGAAACAGGUGCUAAUACCGCAUAACGGGGGAAGCCGCAUGGCUUUUCCCUGAAAACUCCGGUGGUACAGGAUGGGCCCGCGUCUGAUUAGCCAGUUGGCAGGGUAACGGCCUACCAAAGCGACGAUCAGUAGCCGGCCUGAGAGGGCGGACGGCCACACUGGGACUGAGACACGGCCCAGACUCCUACGGAAGGCAGCAG
Molecule: ribosomal RNA, 265 nt
Filed under: uncultured bacterium
Lineage: Bacteria
Description: partial 16S ribosomal RNA
Rfam family: Bacterial small subunit ribosomal RNA
Source: RNAcentral